UCCAGCCACACACUGGCCUGGGGAAGAAAGUGUUUGAGCUGGAGAAGAAAGUGUUUGAGCUGGCUGCUGCCCGAGAAUGAAGAGCAUUAACUCUGGCUUCCCUCCAACCUCCAGCACUUGGAUUUCAGCCAUCAUUCAUCCUCCAUCCCAGGGGAAAUUCCGUGCAGCGCAAUUUGGGGCAGGCUGCUGCGGGAAAUGGGGAGCAGAGCAUCCCAGGAGCAUCGGCGUGGACGAGGCUCCUCCCUCCACCGGGACCCUGCGCUGUGUCCGGUGCCUCUUGCUUUGGGACUGGCUGCUUUGCCGGGUGUCCUGCGGACAGGAGGGACACAGAAGCCAGCGGUGGGUGAGCAUGUGACACCCGGAUACCUGUGAUACCUGUGAGCAUAUGGCUUUGCAAUGAAAGUGUUGCAGACUUGGAGGCUGGGCUGAUGAGGAGAAAGCUCCGGAGACUUCUACACUGCAAACUCCUGGGCAGAAGGCUGUGGAUGAAAUAUUGCCACACCUGGGACUUUUUCAGACAUCAUCCCGUGGCACAGCACCCGCGGCACUCGGCUCAGGUGCCCUGUGCUGGAGGAACGCGGCUUUGGCAGCGCUGCCGGGAGCGGACCCAUCCUCCGCGUCAGCCCAGUGCCACCUACAGCAGCCAGAGCAGAAGCUGCAGCAUCGGCAAACCCAUGGAAACAAUUCCAGCACUUCCAGUCAGGGGCGUGUUCACAUCACUGAGUGGCCUUGGAGGAGCCAGAGCAGAAGCUGCAGCACUGGUAAACCGAUGGAAGCAAUUCCAGCACGCUCCAGCCAAAGGCGUGGUCACAUUGAUAGUAAAAGGUUUUAGAAUCAUAGAAAAUUCGGGGAGCUGGAAAGAAAGUUAGGCUUAGUAGGCCCUGGGAAAAUGUUAAAGGUAGGCCCUGGGAAAUGUUAGGCUUGUAUUUGCUAGAUCAUGUGAAACUGCACCUGUGUAGUCAGUAUAUGAUAAAUUAUAUAAUUGUUAGAUGUGAUUAGAUAUAAUUAUUGCUUAAAGAAUCAUGAGAAACUCAUAACACACUUUAACACACUACUUAAGGAAAUUAAUACAGCACAACUUUCUAACAUAACACAUAUAAUAUUCAUUUUAAUAUUUGCAAAAAGACAAUCAUAAACUAGGCAUUUUUCACACAAGCUAAUCAUGUGAAACUGCGCCUGUGUGGUCAGUAUAUGAUAAAUGAUAUAAAUGUUAGAUAUAAUUAUUGUUUAAAGAAUCAUGAGAAGCUAUGUCAGGGAUUUGAGGGGGAUCACGAGAAAUCCAUCCUUGGAUGAAAUCAGUGCAUACAAUAGAACAAUGUAAUUUUAAUAAUUAAUAUGUAAGCUAUAUAAUCAUAGAAUAUAAAACAUGUUCAGCUCGAAACAAUGUCAGGUCAGAUUUGGGUCUGUGCACCCGACACUCAGAGCUCUUCAAUAAAAGCACCUGCACAUAAUAAUCCUGUGAUUGUGUGUACCUGAACACUAACAACAUCACUGAGAGGCCUUUGAGGAACUUGUUCCUUAUCACUGUGCAGGUGAGGACAAUGCAAUGGAGCCUUCUGGUUGAAGGCUGGCAGCUUUGCUGUGUCUGCUGCUGGUGAUACUUCUAAACCUCCAGCAGCUCCUUCCCUCUAUGACCUGUCCUGUUCCCUGCUGUUCUGUUUAACAGGUGUACUCAUCUAUAUUUCCAGGGAAGAGAUGGAUCUGUAUGCAGUGAGGAAAAGCCCUCUCUCAGGCUUGUGCCUCUGUUUUCACUCAUAACUUUUUUCAGCCAGUAACUCUGCAAUGCCAGUGGAACACGAGGCAGUGCUUAGGGGUGUUUGAAAUAAACACAUUUAAAAUGACACUCCAGAAGUGUGACUUCUAUAAGUCACACCACUUGCUUUCUGGGGAAGCAAUUCUGUAGGAGAAUGAACCUAUUCUCUGGGAAGAUAUUCACAGUUUUGGUGCAUUUACAACCAGAAACAUCUUUGAAAUCUAAAGCUACAUAAAUACUCAGGAAAAGACAGACACAAACUGCAAACUGCAUUAUCCUCCUGCCCUGAACUAGAAAGAUUGUUUCUCUUCUGUUGAAGGAUCAGUCCAAGUCCUGUUGUUACCCAGCUGUUUUCAAAAGGAUACUCUUUGAGCACCCCUCUGGCUCUCCAGACACAAUAAUGCUCUAGGAUAAUCCUUCGUGUGGGAAGAUCCUAGAGCAAGUGCUUGUUCCUUUUUUAACUCAGCAGGAGCUAAACAAUUCCCAAAUAAACUUGCCAAAGUGUGGAGCUGGUUCAAGGUACAGCUGUUGCCCUCUGAGUUGGAUGUAGGGCAUUUCUUCUAAUUCUGGCACUACUGAAGAUGCAGUUGGUCAAUAGUGUUUUCUGCUACUGGUGGUUUAAAAUAUCCCAACCAGUGUUUUUAUGUAAUCCUGCUUCUGGCUGGCACAAAUUUGUUAGAGCCACAUCAGGGAACUGAUUUGGUUUAAUCAGGAAGCCACAACACUAAAGGCAAGUGUGUGACACACAGGGUAGGCUUGGAAGUGGCUGCAUGAGUAAAACUGAAGCAAGAGAGAACUGCAGCAAGGGGAAAUAACUUGGGUAGAGGUGCUGCCAAAACACACCACUAACAUGGUCAAUAAUUCACUUUUGUCCCACACUCCCCUGCCCAUACUAGAGAGGAGCUUGAGUGUGCUCAAAGAGCUGAAGGCUCUUUUGUCCCACACAUUGUCACUGCCUUUUAGAGAGCUGGUGACAUCAAAAUUUGCCACCUGGGCAGGGACUGCCAGAUCUAACACCCCCACCCACUGGAUUUAACCAGCAAAACUUCACCAUGCUAAGGUGACCUCCCAAGCACCCUGCAUCCCAGUUUCCUAAUGAAACAGUCAGUAAACACACCCAUUUCCUUUCCAACAGAGUCCACUUGUCCUGUCACAUGAGAUGUGAUUUGCAGAGCCUCAGUGUUUCUCUUCUCCUUCCAAUACCCUGUG
This is a long non-coding RNA of Serinus canaria (Common canary), 2962 nucleotides long. RefSeq lists it as uncharacterized. NCBI's taxonomy places the organism in Eukaryota, Metazoa, Chordata, Aves, Passeriformes, Fringillidae. The transcript is spliced from 3 exons. The record is from RefSeq and is a predicted model, not a curated record.